GAUGAACGCUGGCGGCGUGCCUAAUACAUGCAAGUCGAGCGAACAGAUGAUGAGCUUGCUCCUCUGACGUGAGCGGCGGACGGGUGUGUAACACGUGUAUAACGUACCUAUCAUAGUGGUAUAUCUACGGGAAAGCGGAUCUAAUCCGGUAGAAUAUAUUGAUCCGCGGGGUUCGAUAGUGAAAUACGGUUUUGCUGUCACUUAUAGAUGGAUCCGGGCCUCAUUGGCUAGUUGGUAAGGUAACGGCCUACCAAGGCUACGAUGCGUAGCCGACCUGAUAGGGUGAUCGCCGACACGGGAACUGAGACAGGGACAAGACUCCUACGGUAGGCAGCAGUAGGGAAUCUUACGCAGUGGGCGAAAGUAUGACGGAGUAACGCCAAGUGAGUGAUGAAGGUGUUCGGAUCGUAAAAAUCUGUUAUUAGGGAAGAACAAAUGUGUAAGUAAAUAUGCACGUCUUGACGGUACCUAAUCAGAAAGCAACGGCUAACUACGUG
RNAcentral lists this ribosomal RNA (497 nucleotides) under uncultured bacterium. RNAcentral describes it as "partial 16S ribosomal RNA". It matches the Rfam family "Bacterial small subunit ribosomal RNA", at positions 28 to 507 of the family's 1533-position model. The record is from RNAcentral.